GAUGAACGCUGGCGGCGUGCCUAAUACAUGCGAGUCGAGCGAACAGACGAGGAGCUUGCUCCUCUGACGUUAGCGGCGGACGGGUGAGUAACACGUGGAUAACCUACCUAUAAGACUGGGAUAACUUCGGGAAACCGGAGCUAAUACCGGAUAAUAUAUUGAACCGCAUGGUUCAAUAGUGAAAGACGGUUUUGCUGUCACUUAUAGAUGGAUCCGCGCCGCAUUAGCUAGUUGGUAAGGUAACGGCUUACCAAGGCGACGAUGCGUAGCCGACCUGAGAGGGUGAUCGGCCCCACUGGACCUGAGACCCGGUCCAGACUCCUACGGGAGGCAGCAGUAGGGAAUCUUCCGCAAUGGGCGAAAGCCUGACGGAGCAACGCCGCGUGAGUGAUGAAGGUCUUCGGAUCGUAAACCGCUGUUAUUGGGGAAGAACAAAUGUGUAUGUAACUAUGCCCGUCUGGCCGGUACCUAAUCAGAAAGCCCCGGCUAACUACGU
This 496-nucleotide ribosomal RNA is filed under the name uncultured bacterium. RNAcentral describes it as "partial 16S ribosomal RNA". It matches the Rfam family "Bacterial small subunit ribosomal RNA", at positions 28 to 506 of the family's 1533-position model. The record is from RNAcentral.